Talpa occidentalis (Iberian mole) is the source of this 1418-nucleotide long non-coding RNA. RefSeq lists it as uncharacterized. The transcript is spliced from 3 exons. Lineage: Eukaryota; Metazoa; Chordata; Mammalia; Eulipotyphla; Talpidae. The record is from RefSeq and is a predicted model, not a curated record.
CCAUAGGUGAGCGUAUUUACACCAUGGGAAUUGACAAACCAUUCAUCUGAGUAUCUCUCCUAUCCCCCCCACCAGUCCCCAGGAAUGCAGUUUUUAAACAUUCAGCUGCACACCCAAUCAACCGUAACCCCUAAGCCUUGUUAAUUCAAUUCUUACUGGAUAAGGCAGUUGAGGGUGUGAGGAUCUCAUGGCUGAAACACCAAGAGUCACCCUGAAGCUCUGGAACCCGAGACACAGGCAUUAUCUCUAACUCUCCAGGCUUGAGUAAUUCUGGAACUGCUUCAACCUCCUGAAAUUCUUAGGUUCUGCCAAAAAGUCUCGACCACUAUGGAGUUUCUGAUUCAACUUUCCUCCCUGCAACAGUCUAAGUCACCUUGUGGUAGCAUUGCUCCCUAGCCUGAUUUUCUACUGUCAAGUGUUCAUGAGAUGCCACCUUGGAAGAAGGAACAGGAAGAGAAAUGCCAUCCUUUCCUCUGCUCAUUUGGUUUCCAGAAGAUGUGUGCAGAGAUUCCAAAUCCCACCCAUCCUGAGCCUGGGUCCUCCUAACACAGCAGCCACACAAGUGAAGCAUUGCCGGUGGGUCCACCUCCAUCUGCACGAAGGAAGCCCACCUUUGAAGAAGAAGCAUUCAUCAGCCCACCUUCGAAGAAGGAGUCUGUUCCCAGCCUCUGAAGAGAGAGACACAUGGAGACACAUGGAGCAGUCCAUGACCAUGGGAUUCUCCAGACCUCUGCAGACCUUUGUAGACCUUGUAGACCUUCGUAGACCUUUGGAGGCUACUAAACCCCCAGAUCUCUGCAGAACUUUGCAGAAACUUAGCCACUGCACCUGCCUCUGACACGGCCUGAAAAGAGCACUGUGGGGCUCGGCCCAGCAUCUCAAAGAGCUGACCCAGCCUCUGGGUCUCUGGCACGACCUCCUGGUGCUGUUGGGUUUGUCGUCGUCUGGUUCAGCCUCCGGCCCAGACUUGAGACUGCUGUUGCAUCAUCUCACCUUCCACGCACGGCCUUUGUUUGGGAGUUCUGGGCACUGUGCACAUUAUCUGGGGUGAGAUAUUUGGCCACUUGUGUCCUCAAAGAAUCUUUCCUCUUCCCAAUCUCUUGUUUGUUAAAUAAACCCCGUUGCUGGGCCCGGAGCCUGAGCGGUCUUGCAAUUGUGCCUGGGGGUGAGUGAUGUGAGCUCUACCUCAGGUGCUGCUCCUUCGUUCUUUUUGAACACUGAGUCCUGUUGAGCACUCUUUUAAGAGUCUUUUGCACUGUUCCAGAAGUAUUAUUACAUAUAAUGUUUGGCAUCUAGUAUAUACAUAACAUACAUAAUGUUAUAUAUAAAUGUUGGCAUUUAGUAUGUGUUUAAUAAAUGGUGGCUAUACUUACUUGAGGAUGUUAGAACUUGGGUUUUGGUUGGGCAGACCUAGGUAU